UACGUAGGGGGCAAGCGUUGUCCGGAUUUAUUGGGCGUAAAGAGCGUGUAGGCGGCCAAGCAGGUCCGCUGUGAAAACUCGAGGCUCAACCUCGAGACGUCGGUGGAAACCGUUUGGCUAGAGUCCGGAAGAGGAGAGUGGAAUUCCCGGUGUAGCGGUGAAAUGCGCAGAUAUCGGGAAGAACACCCGUGGCGAAGGCGGCUCUCUGGGCAGUAACUGACGCUGAGGAGCGAAAGCGUGGGGAGCGAACAGG
Molecule: ribosomal RNA, 253 nt
Filed under: uncultured bacterium
Lineage: Bacteria
Description: partial 16S ribosomal RNA
Rfam family: Bacterial small subunit ribosomal RNA
Source: RNAcentral